Molecule: ribosomal RNA, 130 nt
Filed under: Asparagus officinalis (garden asparagus)
Lineage: Eukaryota; Viridiplantae; Streptophyta; Magnoliopsida; Asparagales; Asparagaceae
Description: 5.8S ribosomal RNA
Rfam family: 5.8S ribosomal RNA
About the family: 5.8S ribosomal RNA (5.8S rRNA) is a component of the large subunit of the eukaryotic ribosome. It is transcribed by RNA polymerase I as part of the 45S precursor that also contains 18S and 28S rRNA.
Source: RNAcentral
CUCUCGCAUCGAUGAAGAACGUAGCGAAAUGCGAUACUUGGUGUGAAUUGCAGAAUCCCGUGAACCAUCGAGUCUUUGAACGCAAGUUGCGCCCGAGGCUAUUUGGCCGAGGGCACGCCUGCCUGGGCGU